This 3001-nucleotide long non-coding RNA is filed under the name Saimiri boliviensis boliviensis (Bolivian squirrel monkey). RNAcentral's name for it is "lncRNA (ENSSBOG00000036795.1)". The record is from RNAcentral. Lineage: Eukaryota; Metazoa; Chordata; Mammalia; Primates; Cebidae.
GGAGGAGGAGGGGCUCCCUGCGAGGUUCCACGCGGAUGGGGAGCCCAAGGCCGGGCUUAGGCGCCGGCGGAAGGGGGUUGGGAGACACUGGGUUCCCGAGGCCCGGGCCAGCGUCCUGAGGGGCAUUCAGGAUCCUUGGCAGGGCCCUCCUGUCCAAGAGGCCCCUGCAGACGGCAUGAAAGGGCCCGCCUCCGGCAGGGCCACCAAGCCCCUGGAGAGCAGGCCUCUGGGGGACACCCUUCGGGGCUUCUGCACGUCCGAGGACAGUGACAUCAACAUCACCAGCGGGGAAGAGGAUCACAAGGAGUCGCCUUUCCCAGGCUCCUGCAACCCCAAAGAGAAGGAGAACAGUGGCCGUGGCCCCCGGGCCCUCCCGGACAGCCGGGCGGCCCCACCAGAGGGCCUUUGCUGCUACAUCUGCGGGUCCCCGCUGUCCCCAGCCUCGCACCACCAGGUCCACGUGCAGAAGCAGGAGAAGCUGGCGCAGGCCCCGUUCUUCCCCUUCCUGUGGCUGCACAGCCCGCCCCCAGGGGCACAGCCCAUCAGCGAGGGCGGCAGCACCUUAGUGUGCACCAGCUGCUUCUCCUCCCUCACGCAGCAGUGGCAGAGCUUCGAGCUGGCCAACGUGCCAGUCCUGCAGCGACUCUACGUGGUGCCCCUGGACAGCCACGCCCCCGGCAUGGCCUCCAAGGGCAGGAGACUCCCCAGGGAAGAGGGCCUUCCGCCUGGGGCCCUGCGAGAGGCCUGCUACCUCUGCGGGGAGGACUGUACCCCGGAUGCCCGGGCGGUGCCCUCCAGGAUCCUCAACGGCAACGCCAGGAGCGCAAUGCAUUUUCCUUUCCUCAGCCUCCUGCCCUGCCCGCCCAAUGCCCAGGGCCCCAACAAGCGCUGCGAGGUCCGCAGCUGCCCCAAGUGCUUCAGCGUGCUGGAGGACGUCUGGGCCCUGUACCGGGCCUGCCAGAAGGAGGAGCUCAUCACCUCCGUGCAGGGCUUCCUGGGCAGGUACCACCAGGCCUUCUCCGCCUCCGACCCUGCCCUCUCUGAGCUGCCCGCAUCAGCCCAGGGCAGCCAUGUGUCCAUCUGCUACAUCUGUGGGGCUGAGCUGGGCCCCGGGAGGGAGUUCCAGCUCAACGUGAACCCCGCCAGCCGCUUGGGCGAGAAGGAGCCGUUCUUCCCCUUCCUCACCGUGUAUCCGCCGGCGCCUCGUGCCAUGCCUGUGGACUCCACUGGACUGGUGGCCACCUGUGUGCUCUGCUACCAUGACCUGCUGGCCCAGUGGCUGCAGCACGAGGCCCGCAGCACCCAUCACGCUGUCAGCGCCUGGUCCCGGCAGUACCACGUGGAGACAUUCGUGUGCUUCUUUUGCCAGCAGGAGAAGAAACGGUGUCUGGGGCUGAAGUCUGUGCGGGUGGCCCGGCUGCCCCUGUUCCUAUACACACUUCGAGCAAGCCACAGCCUGCUGGUGGAUGACGGACAGCAGCUGAUCAUCGGCGCUUGCAUGGAGUGUGGGACCCUGGUGUCUGCGGGCCAAGGGCUCACCUGCCAGGGACCCAUGAGCUGGAGCUCCCCGGUGGCAGCAGCAACGAAGAUGGGUCCUGGGACUGUGCUGCUCUCGUCACCGGCAGUCACAAGAACGCUGGCCUCUCUGCAGGACUCACGUCCGUCCUCCCAACGCUGGCCAGUUUGGCAGCUCCCUCCAGGAUCCAGGCCCUCCCUGGUCCGGGUUGUCUCGCUCUGUGUCACCUUGCAGCAAGCACCUUCAUCCACCUGCCCCGUCUCCUCAUUGGCCAAGGGCGCUAGAGGGGUGGUCCCCACCUGCACGUCGUCACAGACGUGCUGUGGGCCGGAACACUGACCUCGCGCUUCUUCCUCUCGUCUUCUCUCUGAAGUCGAAGUUCGGGAGCUCAGGAUCCAAAAACGACGACACUGGGACCUUCCAUUCGGAAGGCAUGCUUUGCCCACUCGGCCACUCGCAGUGGCGAACGGUUUUGAGCAGGGGUGUGAUGUGACCGGCAGACCCAUGUGUGGAGCCCGAGGUGGCUUCGGAGGCUGGUGGCUGGGAGAGCAGGGAGGGGCUGCUGCAGUGGUCUCAGCUCCAGUGGCGGGACGGCGUGGAUGGCCACUGUGGGACACAGAGGACAAGGGGGACAUGCAAGAGUCCUAGGCCGGAAGACGCGGGCACCAGCCCCUGCCUGACUGUGCUCUCUUCUCUUUCUGCCGUAAAUAAGAAUAACUGUGGACUGUCACCUCGCCUUCUGCCUUUGUCGCCUCCGUAAUCCCUCCCUCUGCGUGCUGAGGAUAAUUCUGCCUUUUCCUUCACCUGCUCACUGACACCUUGUCACCUCCCACCUUCAAAUAUGCUCAGAUCCCGUUUUUAUCACAUAACACACGGGUUUGUCCUUGGAACCCAUUUUUUGUCUUUCCACCAUGGGUCUUGGGUUUCCUUGGGACAGGCACCUCGUGGAACCCUGGAUGUUUUUCCCAUCUCCCACGUCAGGCGGGCCAUGCCAACCGCACCUUUAAUCGAGUAAUCACAGGGAGAAUGGCGAAUGGCUGUGGAGCCUCUUCCUGAGGGCUCGGGUCUCGGUGGCUGCCGGUACCCUCCAUUUCCUUGAAGAAAGGAGGAAGCUUUGCCCGGAGAGGCCAUGUGGUUCCCCCUACGUCACACAGCUGGUACGCGGUGGAGGCAGAGCCUGAACUCAGAGCCCUAUUCUCUCAAUCCCGACCUGUCUGCCCUGGGCAGGUGUUUCCAGGUGUGGGCUGAACCAGAUGAUGUGUUUCAGGGGGCCCGGCUGGCACAGCAUUCACUGACUGCGAAUCACCCAGCAGGAUGAUUCCUCUCGCCCCACAUUUAGUCAUACUGCAAGGGGACAUCUCGAGAGCUAGUAGGUCAGACAAACCUCAACAUUUUUUAUUGCAAUAAAAUGUAUGGAAAAUUAACCAUAUAAACUAUUUUGAAGUGUACAGUUACAGAGCCCCCAUCCCGGGGACUCUCCUCCCC